AUUGAACGCUGGCGGCAUGCCUUACACAUGCAAGUCGAACGGCAGCACGGGUGCUUGCACCUGGUGGCGAGUGGCGAACGGGUGAGUAAUACAUCGGAACAUGUCCUGUAGUGGGGGAUAGCCCGGCGAAAGCCGGAUUAAUACCGCAUACGAUCUACGGAUGAAAGCGGGGGACCUUCGGGCCUCGCGCUAUAGGGUUGGCCGAUGGCUGAUUAGCUAGUUGGUGGGGUAAAGGCCUACCAAGGCGACGAUCAGUAGCUGGUCUGAGAGGACGACCAGCCACACUGGGACUGAGACACGGCCCAGACUCCUACGGGAGGCAGCAGUGGGGAAUUUUGGACAAAGGGCGAAAGCCUGAUCCAGCAAUGCCGCGUGUGUGAAGAAGGCCUUCGGGUUGUAAAGCACUUUUGUCCGGAAAGAAAUCCUUGGCCCUAAUACGGUCGGGGGAUGACGGUACCGGAAGAAUAAGCACCGGCUAACUACGUA
Molecule: ribosomal RNA, 486 nt
Filed under: uncultured bacterium
Lineage: Bacteria
Description: partial 16S ribosomal RNA
Rfam family: Bacterial small subunit ribosomal RNA
Source: RNAcentral